This 59-nucleotide transfer RNA is filed under the name Felis catus (domestic cat). RNAcentral also lists the same sequence under 1 other name. The record is from Rfam by way of RNAcentral. Lineage: Eukaryota; Metazoa; Chordata; Mammalia; Carnivora; Felidae.
ACCUGGAUAGCUCAAUCAGUUGAGCAUCUGACUUUGGCUCAGGUCAUGAUCUCCAGGUU